CAUGAAACUGAACGAUUUAAAGCCAUUAAGGUCUGCCUUGAUAGAAACCCAGAAGCUUUUCUACCAAAGAUUGGACAAAGCAAACUGGGAGAUAUUAAACCUCACCAUAACAAAGGAUGUAACUGCAAGCGUUCAGGAUGUCUCAAGAAUUAUUGUGAGUGCUUUGAGGGAAUCAGCUGUAUCUAUUUCUUUGGAAGAUGUGAAAGCAACAUGUGCUCGUCUCCUGGUGCAAGCUGAAGAGGCAGAAAAAGGAGGUUACUCUGCCUGUCUAGCUGAACGCAUGAUCAUGGAGGAAUAUGGGAGGUGUUUAUCCCAGAUCCUACAUUUGCAAUUAAAAGACUGAAAGUUGAAUAAUGUUCAACGUAUUAUAAAGUCAAUGAGUAGUAAUACUUAUGUAUUGUCAGUCUAAAUGAUCUUACCUUGAAUUUUCAUAGGACAAAUUUCACUGACUUCAGCUGCAUUCUUUCUGAAUUAUGCUGAUGUAAGUGAAACUUGGGGUUUUCUGGGCCAGUUGUUCAGUCUUUGCAUAGACUCCAAUUUAAAGUAAGUUUAACUUAGAAUGACUUUGUUGAAUGUUUAUGUGAGUGGAGAGCCAAUAAGCACUGAGAAAGAAGUU
RNAcentral lists this long non-coding RNA (616 nucleotides) under Chrysolophus pictus (golden pheasant). RNAcentral's name for it is "lncRNA (ENSCPIG00010002670.1)". Lineage: Eukaryota; Metazoa; Chordata; Aves; Galliformes; Phasianidae. The record is from RNAcentral.